AGUGAACGCUGGCGGUAGGCCUAACACAUGCAAGUCGAACGGCAGCACAGUAAGAGCUUGCCCUUACGGGUGGCGAGUGGCGGACGGGUGAGGAAUACAUCGGACUCUACUUUUUCGUGGGGGAUAACGUAGGGAAACUUACGCUAAUACCGCAUACGACCUACGGGUGAAAGCAGGGGAUCUUCGGACCUUGCGCGAUUGAACGAGCCGAUGUCGGAUUAGCUAGUUGGCGGGGUAAAGGCCCACCAAGGCGACGAUCCGUAGCUGGUCUGAGAGGAUGAUCAGCCACACUGGGACUGAGACGCGGUCCAGACUCCUACAGGAGGCAGCGAUGGGGAAUAUUGGACGAUGGGCGCAAGCCUGCUCCAGCCAUGCCGCGUGGGUGAAGAAGGCCUUCGUGUUGUAUAGCCCUUUUGUUGUGGUAGAAAAGCAGCAGGUUAAUACCCCGCUGUUCUGACGGUACCCAAAGAAUAAGCACCGGCUAACUUCGUG
Molecule: ribosomal RNA, 492 nt
Filed under: uncultured bacterium
Lineage: Bacteria
Description: partial 16S ribosomal RNA
Rfam family: Bacterial small subunit ribosomal RNA
Source: RNAcentral